GCAAUGGCGUGGUUUCCUUCUCUUCUCCUUGAAGGGGGUAAUUAUCUUUCAGUUCCAGGUACUUUUCAAUCAGUUAAGGACUCCUCCUUAGACAGCAUCCUCCACAUUCAAUUCAGCAACAAUGAUAAAUCAAGUGCCUGCAGAUGUAUGUCAUCUGCAUAAUAAGUUUUUCUUUAGACUUUGCAAAGAUGCCAAUGUCAGAUUUGUAACUGUUAUAUCAGUGUCUCUCAGCCAAGCAAUGUAAAAGAUGAUCUCUCAGAGCUUGGAGAAAAAGGAUAGCUUUUUCUUAGAUGUUGGAAUGGUCAUUGAAAGUUAGGAUUGCUGCAAACUCACAAUGUAUCCUGUAGAACUUUGUAUCAGAAUGCAUGAAAAAACUAUUUAAGUGUUAACAUGUUGUGCACAUUGAAUCAACUUGAUAGUAGUACUUCCUUUCUGGUGA
Long non-coding RNA from Nicotiana attenuata, 439 nucleotides. RefSeq lists it as uncharacterized. The transcript is spliced from 2 exons. Lineage: Eukaryota; Viridiplantae; Streptophyta; Magnoliopsida; Solanales; Solanaceae. The record is from RefSeq and is a predicted model, not a curated record.